Molecule: ribosomal RNA, 866 nt
Filed under: uncultured microorganism
Description: bacterial SSU rRNA
Rfam family: Bacterial small subunit ribosomal RNA
Source: RNAcentral
CUGCAGUCGACGCAACUUUUAAUGAUGCUGCUCGACUAAAGUUUGAGUGCGGACGGGUGAGUUACACGUGGUUACCUGCCAUCAGAGGGGACAACACUUGGAAACAGGUGCUAAUACCGCAUAAUACAGAGAACCACAUGUUCUCUGUGAAAGGCGCUUCUGGUGUCGCUGAUGGAUGGACCCGCGGUGCAUUAGCUAGACGGUGAGGUAACGGCUCACCGUGGCGAUGAUGCAUAGCCGACCUGAGAGGGUGAUCGGCCACAUUGGGACUGAGACACGGCCCAGACUCCUACGGGAGGCAGCAGUAGGGAAUUUUCGGCAAUGGGGGAAACCCUGACCGAGCAAUGCCGCGUGAGUGAUGAAGGAUUUCGGUCUGUAAAGCUCUGUUGUAAGGGAAAAAGGAUGUUAAUAGGGAAUGAUUAAUAUUUGAUGGUACCUUACCAGAAAGCCACGGCUAACUACGUGCCAGCAGCCGCGGUAAUACGUAGGUGGCAAGCGUUAUCCGGAAUUAUUGGGCGUAAAGGGUGCGUAGGCGGUUUAAUAAGUCUGAAGUAAAAGGCAGUGGCUCAACCAUUGUAAGCUUUGGAAACUGUUAGACUAGAGUGCAGGAGAGGCAAAUGGAAUUCCAUGUGUAGCGGUAAAAUGCGUAGAUAUAUGGAGGAACACCAGUGGCGAAGGCGGUUUGCUGGCCUGUAACUGACGCUGAGGCACGAAAGCGUGGGGAGCAAAUAGGAUUAGAUACCCUAGUAGUCCACGCCGUAAACGAUGAGAACUAGGUGUUGGGGAGACUCAGUGCCGCAGUUAACGCAAUAAGUUCUCCGCCUGGGGAGUAUGCACGCAAGUGUGAAACUCAAAGGAAUUGACGG